This 269-nucleotide long non-coding RNA is filed under the name Callithrix jacchus (white-tufted-ear marmoset). Its description in RNAcentral is "lncRNA (ENSCJAG00000070366.1)". The record is from RNAcentral. Lineage: Eukaryota; Metazoa; Chordata; Mammalia; Primates; Cebidae.
GUCAAUGUGACACAGUGUGGCUCAGGGCCACAGAAGACCCAGGCAAACCUUCACCUAAAUCUGCUAGUUAAGCGAUGAUGCCAGGAUGCCCAAGAAUUGCAAAGUUCACCAGCACACUCGAGGGAGAGAAACAACAGCGACAAACUCCAAGGAACUACAGAGGCAGAGGGAUGUGGAACCCAGGACGUAGAGGGGGCAGAUUCGUGUUCCCCCCAGGGGACCCUGGGAACCACGACCCUGCAGCCAGGUGUGCUCAGAGGAUAAACAGG